Small nucleolar RNA from Ictalurus punctatus (channel catfish), 132 nucleotides. The record is from Ensembl. NCBI's taxonomy places the organism in Eukaryota, Metazoa, Chordata, Actinopteri, Siluriformes, Ictaluridae.
GAGCACUGUUUUUACUGCGGAGGAUGUCUGCUUUAUGUCCAUACUGCUAUCGUUACAGUGCCAAAUGAGCCUCAGUUUGCAGAAGGGCACUGCCAAAUAUUGGCACCUCCCUUUCGAAGACUGAGAACAUUA